UACUAGAGUAGCACUCGCAUAUCAAUAAGCGGAGGAAAAGAAACUAACAAGGAUUCCCCUAGUAACGGCGAGUGAAGCGGGAAGAGCUCAAAUUUGAAAUCUUAAAGGGUUUCCCUUUACGAAUUGUAGUUUAAAGAAGUGUUUUCUGUUGAGGUUUUGGUAAAAGUUCUUUGGAAUAGGACAUCAUAGAGGGUGAGAAUCCCGUAUUUGACCUUUACUUUCAACUUUGUGAUACACUUUCAAAGAGUCGGAUUGUUUGGGAAUGCAGUCCAAAAUGGGUGGUAAAUUUCAUCUAAAGCUAAAUAUUGGCGAGAGACCGAUAGCGAACAAGUACCGUGAGGGAAAGAUGAAAAGAACUUUGAAAAGAGAGUUAAACAGUACGUGAAAUUGUCAAAAGGGAAGCGUUUGACACCAGUGUUGUUUUUCUGAAAAUCAAUUAAAGAACUGUUUAUGCUAAGCUGUUUAGACUUUAUCAGCUAAUCUGUUUAGUUUUGAGCCUUUUCUUUAAUGCACUUUUCAGUUAACAAGUCAACAUCAAUUUCUUUUGCUGUAAAAAAGCUUGAGGAAGGUGGCUUGAGAUUCGUCUUAAGUGUUUAUAGCCUCUUGCCUAUGCAGUCGGAGAGAUUGAGGUCUGCAGCGUAGAUCCUUCGGGGCUAAAUGCAUUUGUGCUAAGUUAUAGCAUUUUAUAGACAACUUGUUGACUAUGAUUCGUCUCGUAGCUUACUCGCUUAUGUUAUUUUACCUACGCUUAGGAUGUUGAACUACUGAGACAUAG
Molecule: ribosomal RNA, 775 nt
Filed under: uncultured Neocallimastigales
Lineage: Eukaryota; Fungi; Neocallimastigomycota; Neocallimastigomycetes; Neocallimastigales
Description: partial large subunit ribosomal RNA
Rfam family: Eukaryotic large subunit ribosomal RNA
Source: RNAcentral